This 144-nucleotide non-coding RNA is filed under the name Schistosoma mansoni. Lineage: Eukaryota; Metazoa; Platyhelminthes; Trematoda; Strigeidida; Schistosomatidae. The record is from RNAcentral.
CCCGACUGUUGCUGCUACCUUGACGUGGUGGUCGGGCUUGCCUAUUGUGAUGAACCAAUCAAGCUAUACUAGUUGAAACAAUCGUUCCUCAAGAUCCUACCAUGCCAGACUGGUCGGUUGGAGAGCGGUAAGACUAAAAGCAUC